UACGGAGGAUCCGAGCGUUAUCCGGAUUUAUUGGGUUUAAAGGGUGCGCAGGCGGGAGAUUAAGUCGGCGGUGAAAUUUUGCAGCUCAACUGUAAAAGUGCCUUCGAUGCUGGUCUCCUUGAGUGUGGAUGAAGUAGGCGGAAUUUGUGGUGUAGCGGUGAAAUGCUUAGAUAUCACGAGGAACUCCGAUUGCGCAGGCAGCUUACUAAACCACUACUGACGCUCAGGCACGAAGGCGUGGGGAUCAAACAGGAUUAGAUA
Molecule: ribosomal RNA, 261 nt
Filed under: uncultured prokaryote
Description: partial 16S ribosomal RNA
Rfam family: Bacterial small subunit ribosomal RNA
Source: RNAcentral